AGCUUGUAGAUUUCAUGAUCUUAGAGAUGCUGAUUCUUGAAUAUAGAAAAAGGAAGACAUUUCUUUAUAGGAUUUGAUUGGUUAUGAUGUUAUUAUCAUUUCUUAGGACUGGCAUAUUUACGUUGUUGUUGAUCAAUGAAAAUUGUGACCAUGAAGAUGAUCCAUUGAAGCAGUGGAAGCUCUUCAGAUUUGAAUUUUUA
Rhodamnia argentea is the source of this 200-nucleotide long non-coding RNA. RefSeq lists it as uncharacterized. NCBI's taxonomy places the organism in Eukaryota, Viridiplantae, Streptophyta, Magnoliopsida, Myrtales, Myrtaceae. The record is from RefSeq and is a predicted model, not a curated record. The transcript is spliced from 3 exons.